UCACUUGAAUCACAAACUCGCUCAUAGUCUGUUCUUCAGUUUUCUUCAGAUGUGUCAACUUAUCCCCUAUACUUAGAGUAUGAAUUGUCAAAGUUGGUGAGAGAUGCAUUUCUAAUUUGUUUCAGCAAUCAUAUGUUGUUCUAUGUCCCAUCACCAAUGAAUACAUCAAAACAGCAACUGAUGACUGAAUCCAACCAAGAGCGAUUCAAUUCUUCUGUAGCCAAGUUUGGUGAUCAGAAUUCGUUGUCCCAUCACUAUUUCUUUCAGGUGGAAUAACCCGAUUUGCACGUAUGAUGUCCGAUACCCGAUGUAUUCUGAAAAGGUUCUCCAUUUGUUCUUUUCAGAACAAAUGUCUCCCUUCUCAAAAGGAGUCUGGAUGAAGUGUGAAACCUGACAUUUGUAAAUGUCAGGGCUAACACCAUCAACAGCUGAAGAGGAAGAAGUGUCCCUUUCUGCCAUUCGAUGCACUCAAGUUUUAACGGAAAAAAUAGGAUAGAAAUGGCACAAAUCCUCGACGUCUCCAAAUUUGCAGUCCUUGCGUUACAAACAAUAUAACAAUCAACAAAUUUGCAAAUAAACGAGUAAUUUCAUUCGAACGAAUGAAAUGAGGCAACUAUAAUCAAUUUAAACUACACAAUUGAUUAAUAGCCCCUUUUUUCUUUUUCUUUUUUCUUUUUAUAAAAAUAAUAGCAGACCAGCAAAAUACAUGCAAAAUACUCUUAGAAAAAAAACAAUUCAAUAACAUGCAAUAUAACUAUAAAUCGCAAUAUAAUUGCGGGAGAAAGAAAUAAAAUUAUUUCUGCCAAUUAGUAUUAAUCGAUAACAUCAGCAAUCAGACAAUUUAAAAGCAUGAAUUAUCAGUAUUAAUCGAUUAAAGCAGAAAGAAUCAGUUUUCUCACAAUAAACGCAAUAAGCAACAAAAAAAAUCAGAAUGAACAAUCAAAUUAGUUUUAAGCAGAAAGAGCGAAAAAAAAAUUGAUAGCAAAAUAUCACAAUAGCACUAUUAAACUAGUAACAAACCAAAAAAAAAUAAUGCAAAUCAAAACCAAUCAGCAAGAAAACCAAUCAGAUCGAUAACGGAAAAGAGAAAGAAAAAAUCACAAUCAAACCAGACUGCAACGAUCGGUUAAUUGCAGAUAGUAAGUCUUGAUCAAAAUCGCAAGAUCCCCCAAGUCGCAAAAUUUCAAAUCGCAAACAACCUGCAAUCAAAAUCUGAAAUCGAAAAUUAAAAUAUUAACCUGCAGAUUUGGCGAUUUGGCUAGCAGAAAUCCCAAUCGCAAAUAAUGCAGAAAAACGCAGAUCCAAAAUGCAGAUCCAGACGAACGCGUGGAAUAUGG
Molecule: long non-coding RNA, 1337 nt
Filed under: Zostera marina
Lineage: Eukaryota; Viridiplantae; Streptophyta; Magnoliopsida; Alismatales; Zosteraceae
Description: long non-coding RNA (ZMAR_LNC005095)
Source: RNAcentral